GUUUGGGCUCAUAACAAAUUAAAAGUUGCUCCUGCUACUCAGCCUAGAGCCUUGAGCAUUAUACAAGGACGUGCUGUAGGAGUAACCCAUUACCUUCUGGGUGGAAUUGCCACAACAUGGGCAUUCUUCUUAGCGAGAAUUAUUGCAGUAGGAUAGUGGCUAGGAGGAUUUGAAAGGCAUUAUGGAAUUAAGAUUUCCCAGGUUUAGCCAAGGCUUAGCUCAGGACCCCACUACUCGUCGUAUUUGGUUUGGUAUUGCUACCGCACAUGAUUUCGAAAGUCAUGAUGAUAUUACUGAGGAACGUCUUUAUCAGAACAUUUUUGCUUCUCACUUUGGGCAGUUAGCAAUAAUCUUUCUAUGGACGUCCGGAAAUCUGUUUCAUGUAGCUUGGCAAGGAAAUUUUGAAUCAUGGAUACAGGAUCCUUUACACGUAAGACCUAUUGCUCAUGCCAUUUGGGAUCCUCAUUUUGGGCAACCCGCUGUGGAAGCCUUUACUCGAGGAGGUGCUGCCGGUCCAGUGAAUAUCGCUUAUUCUGGGGCUUAUCAGUGGUGG
RNAcentral lists this unclassified non-coding RNA (553 nucleotides) under Zea mays. RNAcentral's name for it is "misc RNA Zm00001eb039220". Lineage: Eukaryota; Viridiplantae; Streptophyta; Magnoliopsida; Poales; Poaceae. The record is from RNAcentral.